UGAGGAAUAUUGGUCAAUGGGCGAGAGCCUGAACCAGCCAAGUAGCGUGCAGGAUGACGGCCCUAUGGGUUGUAAACUGCUUUUAUGUGGGGAUAAAGUGCGUGACGUGUCAUGCAUUGCAGGUACCACAUGAAUAAGGACCGGUUAAUUCCGUGCCAGCAGCCGCGGUAAUACGGAAGGUCCGGGCGUUAUCCGGAUUUAUUGGGUUUAAAGGGAGCGUAGGCUGUCUAUUAAGCGUGUUGUGAAAUUUACCGGCUCAACCGGUGGCUUGCAGCGCGAACUGGUCGACUUGAGUAUGCAGGAAGUAGGCGGAAUUCAUGGUGUAGCGGUGAAAUGCUUAGAUAUCAUGACGAACUCCGAUUGCGCAGGCAGCUUACUGUAGCAUAACUGACGCUGAUGCUCGAAAGUGCGGGUAUCAAACAGG
RNAcentral lists this ribosomal RNA (424 nucleotides) under Fusobacteriota bacterium. RNAcentral describes it as "Fusobacteria bacterium partial 16S ribosomal RNA". It matches the Rfam family "Bacterial small subunit ribosomal RNA", at positions 355 to 776 of the family's 1533-position model. The record is from RNAcentral. Lineage: Bacteria; Fusobacteriati; Fusobacteriota.